GGGACCGGAGGCAAGACAUCUUGCUGCAUCAUUGAUCUAUAAAAUUUAUAACCUAGCAACACCAACCAAGAUUUUUAAUCCAAGUGGAAAAAGCAAACUCGUUCACACAAUUUGUCAAACAGUUGGUGGACCACGAAAAGGCUCACGAUGUGAGAUCAAGUAAAGCCAAGCCAAGCCUCGGCCUGGCCAUUUAGCAGAGGAAUGGUUAUCACAAAAAGAGUUCGGAGAACGAGACAAAAAGAAAAAAAGGCAUACCUUGCGAGUGGAAAUCAGGUCCAGGGACGAGUGGCCUCAACUUCGAUGCAUUCGUUUUGAUCUCAGGCCUAACUAGAAAUGACCGCGGAUCAGCGGAUGGGAUUGGGAGCGGCUGAGAACUUGGGUAAGAGAUGAGAGAUGUGAUUUUGGCGGAAGGUUUCUGGCUCCUGCGACCCAGUACUGGCCACCCGGGACUCGGGGAGGUGGAGGAGAUGAGGUCGCUGGCAGGCGGUCGGUGAAGCAGAGCUGCAGAAAGAGCCGAAGAGGAGCUGAGCAGGACCGAGGACAAUGAGGAUUGAGGAGGAGUGGAGCCGUGGAGGACGAUGGGGAUUUUAAAGAAAGGGACGAUGGGUGAUGGGAUUGGGAUGCCCGACGGCGACUUACCCUCACUCCCUCAGUCAUCUUGUCGAGCAGUCGAGGUAGCCGUUGGCUCUGCCUCUGGCCCUCUACGCUCUACCUCCAUGGAGUACGGACUACUAUAGCCAGUCUGUCGGGCGGGGCCUUUUUUCGGGCCGGGGCCUUAGGCGGCCGCCUAUCUCGCCUAACGGUCGGGCCGGCAC
RNAcentral lists this long non-coding RNA (815 nucleotides) under Phoenix dactylifera (date palm). RNAcentral describes it as "long non-coding RNA (PDAC_LNC014900)". Lineage: Eukaryota; Viridiplantae; Streptophyta; Magnoliopsida; Arecales; Arecaceae. The record is from RNAcentral.